This 311-nucleotide ribosomal RNA is filed under the name Olea europaea subsp. europaea. RNAcentral's name for it is "Bacterial large subunit ribosomal RNA". It matches the Rfam family "Bacterial large subunit ribosomal RNA", at positions 2250 to 2641 of the family's 2925-position model. Lineage: Eukaryota; Viridiplantae; Streptophyta; Magnoliopsida; Lamiales; Oleaceae. The record is from Rfam by way of RNAcentral.
GAAAGUUUUUGUUUACCGUUUAAUUCUCAUGAAUUUAUCUCUGAAAGUAGGUGUGCAAAGGUUUCCGCGGGCCGGACGGAGAUUAGCCCUUGAGUGCAAAGGUAGAAGGGAGCUUGAUUGCAAGACCCACCCGUCAAGCAGGGAUGAAAGUCGGCCUUUGUGAUCCGACGGAGUCGAGUGGAAGGGCCGUCGUUCAACGGAUAAAAGUUACUAUGAGGAUAAUAGGCUCAUCUUUCUCAAGAGCUCACAUUGACAGGAAGGGUUGGUAACAUAGAAAGAAUUAAAGAUAUAAAUAAUAGAGUUUAAGUUUC